Molecule: long non-coding RNA, 423 nt
Filed under: Fukomys damarensis (Damara mole-rat)
Lineage: Eukaryota; Metazoa; Chordata; Mammalia; Rodentia; Bathyergidae
Description: lncRNA (ENSFDAG00000021879.1)
Source: RNAcentral
GGUGAUGACAGUGUUAUUGCCUUUUUAGUUCUUUGUCCAAACUAACAAGUCCAAGAGGAAAGCCUAAGUUGGUCAGCUCCUGAUGCAGCCACCAUCCUGCAAGUUAUUGCCAAGAUUUUUCAAAACACUUGUAUUUACCUAAAGGACAAUGUGCUUUAUUUAUUGUUAUUUCUUAAGUGCCUAGGAUAAUUCUUGGUGCACACAUAGGGCAGACACAUAAAAACAUUUGAGAAUGAAUAAAGUCCUCAUAAUGGAAGAUGUACUUGGCCCAAGACCAAGACAUAAUUUAGGAGCAAAUUAUAACUCCUGGAUUUGCUUCAUCAGCACUGCGAAAGCUACAAGGAAAGUGAAAUUGGGUUUAGACAAUGACCAAUGAGCCAAAUACUCUAUAAGAUGUACUUAUUUGGUUGGCUCAAGGUUGGG